ACUAAAUGGCAGUGCCAUGGUUGCAUAGUGCAGAUUAAAGGGCGGUAUUAUCCCCUUCUGACAUCACAAGGGGAGCCACAUUUCAAUGACCUAUUUUUUCACAUGUUUGCAGAGAAUGGUUUACCAAAACCAAGUUACUGGCUUGAUCUUUUUUACAUUUUCUAGGUUGACACAAGCACUAGGGACCCAAUUAUAACACUUAAACAUAGAAACAGUCAGAUUUUCAUGAUAUGUCCCUUUUAAGUAAGUGAAUGUGCUAUUUCACAAUGUAAAUUAUAUUGAUAAAGUGAACUAACAGUCUAACAAGACCCCCAUGUUAAACCAAGAUGUCAACUAAAAGGGUCACAGCACCUCACUGAUGAAAACUCAUGCAUAGCCAUAAUAAAACCUCAUGUUUAAGUGUAAAUUUUUAAUAUGAUCCUAAUAUCUAUAUGCAUUUCCAGGCUUUUCAGUAAUGUCACAAUGUCCUAAAUGCACAAGUGUAUUCAAGUUUCAGAACUGCUGCAUUGGCCAAAGUUUUGACCAGACUUAAUAUACACCAAGCACUUCACAAUCUACAGAUGCACAAACAAACUUAAAAAGAAAACAACUCGCGCUACAAACAAGCAACAGCCAACAACAAAGCUUGUUUAUGCGAAUAAUCAAAGUCGGCUAUUUGAAUUACUUGACAUUCACCAACUUUGUGAAACGCGGACAAGCACAAUGCACAGCCAACUAAAAAGGAAGUGCCAUGUCAAUCGACUCAACGCGACAAUGAUGGCCGUGCAUAUCUUGAUGCACAGCAACUAUCCCGCGACAAACACAUCCACACACGUCACUAAAAACACUUUAUCCAUAACAUAGUUAUUUAUCGAUAUAAACACAAAAAGCAACUCGCCCCCCACCCACGCCAGACAUUAUCAAACGAUUAAAAACGAAGUCGACGCAAGCGCGCGUUACUCUAAAAAGUGAUGGCUACAACCGCGUGUUAUACUGGCAGGUCAGUGACGGCAGCCAUGACAGUUCCAUCCGGGUUCCGCUUGCUCUGAAGCGCGUGAGGCAGGAACUCGAAGCGGAUGAAUAUGGAUUACCUGCAAAGUCUCAUUAGGUUGGCUUUACCAACAGAUAUUUCUGUUUGUCUCUCAAAUCAAAUUGUCUACGUGAAAUAAAACAUCCCUUCUGGUGAUAAAUAAUAAUUUUCAGAUGAAUUAAUAUCAAUUAAGUUUCGUGUAGCGUUUGUCCGCUUCGGAGCUGGCCAUGCUGUUGUUUUGUAGACACUAGGGACGCCAUCUUGACUUACUGUAUCAUUACUCCAAUGUUACAACAGCGUUUAUCAGCUCAGUCUCUGAUGUUAAUGGCGCCCAAACAUGCUGCAAAUAGAUGUAUGAAUCAAUGUGCUAUUAUGAUGAUGGUGAUAUUUCCUCUAUGGUAGUUAUCUAACUAUGUAACAAUUGCUAUGCAAAUUGCCCACCAUUUACAAAUAAUACUCAUACCUAUAUGCGCACAAAGAACAUUUCACUACAAUUGUUGUUGAAUCAAAAUUUGUUUUAAGGACGAAUUAAAGUUAUAUAUUCUGAAAUA
Misgurnus anguillicaudatus (oriental weatherfish) is the source of this 1560-nucleotide non-coding RNA. The record is from RefSeq and is a predicted model, not a curated record. Lineage: Eukaryota; Metazoa; Chordata; Actinopteri; Cypriniformes; Cobitidae.